RNAcentral lists this ribosomal RNA (466 nucleotides) under uncultured bacterium. Its description in RNAcentral is "partial 16S ribosomal RNA". It matches the Rfam family "Bacterial small subunit ribosomal RNA", at positions 28 to 507 of the family's 1533-position model. The record is from RNAcentral.
GAUGAACGCUGGCGGCGUGCUUAACACAUGCAAGUCGAACGGAAAGGCCCAAGCUUGCUUGGGUACUCGAGUGGCGAACGGGUGAGUAACACGUGGGUGAUCUGCCCUGCACUUCGGGAUAAGCCUGGGAAACUGGGUCUAAUACCGGAUAGGACCACAUUUUGGAUGGUGUGGUGGAAAGUUUUUCGGUGUGGGAUGAGCUCGCGGCCUAUCAGCUUGUUGGUGGGGUAAUGGCCUACCAAGGCGUCGACGGGUAGCCGGCCUGAGAGGGUGUACGGCCACAUUGGGACUGAGAUACGGCUCAGACUCCUACGUGAGGCAGCAGUGGGGAAUAUUGCACAAUGGGCGCAAGCCUGAUGCAGCGACGCCGCGUGGGGGAUGACGGCCUUCGGGUUGUAAACUCCGUUCGCUAGGGACGAAGCGUUAUGUGACGGUACCUGGAGAAGAAGCACCGGCUAACUACGUG